GUAGGUGGCAAGCGUUGUCCGGAAUUAUUGGGCGUAAAGCGCGCGCAGGCGGUCCUUUAAGUCUGAUGUGAAAGCCCACGGCUCAACCGUGGAGGGUCAUUGGAAACUGGGGGACGUUGAGUACAGAAGAGGAAAGCGGAAUUCCAAGUGUAGCGGUGAAAUGCGUAGAGAUUUGGAGGAACACCAGUGGCGAAGGCGGCUUUCUGGUCUGUAACUGACGCUGAGGCGCGAAAGCGUGGGGAGCAAACAGGAUUAGAUACCCUGGUAGUCCACGCCGUAAACGAUGAGUGCUAAGUGUUAGGGGGGUUUCCCGCCCCCUUAGUGCUGCAGCUAACGCAUUAAGCACUCCGCCUGGGGGAGUACGGCCGCAAGGCUG
This 376-nucleotide ribosomal RNA is filed under the name uncultured organism. RNAcentral describes it as "partial 16S ribosomal RNA". It matches the Rfam family "Bacterial small subunit ribosomal RNA", at positions 527 to 896 of the family's 1533-position model. The record is from RNAcentral.